Molecule: ribosomal RNA, 497 nt
Filed under: uncultured bacterium
Lineage: Bacteria
Description: partial 16S ribosomal RNA
Rfam family: Bacterial small subunit ribosomal RNA
Source: RNAcentral
GAUGAACGCUGGCGGCGUGCCUAAUACAUGCAAGUCGAGCGAACAGACGAGGAGCUUGCUCCUCUGACGUUAGCGACGGACGGGUGAGUAACACGUGGAUAACCUACCUAUAAGACUGGGAUAACUUCGGGAAACCGGAGCUAAUACCGGAUAAUAUAUUGAACCGCGUGGUUCAAUAGUGAAAGACGGUUUUGCUGUCACUUAUAGAUGGAUCCGCGCCGCAUUAGCUAGUUGGUAAGGUAACGGCUUACCAAGGCAACGAUGCGUAGCCGACCUGAGAGGGUGAUCGGCCACACUGGAACUGAGACACGGUCCAGACUCCUACGGGAGGCAGCAGUAGGGAAUCUUCCGCAAUGGGCGAAAGCCUGACGGAGCAACGCCGCGUGAGUGAUGAAGGUCUUCGGAUCGUAAAACUCUGUUAUUAGGGAAGAACAAAUGUGUAAGUAACUAUGCACGUCUUGACGGUACCUAAUCAGAAAGCCACGGCUAACUACGUG